RNAcentral lists this ribosomal RNA (662 nucleotides) under Mortierella sp. S-14. RNAcentral's name for it is "eukaryotic LSU rRNA". The stretch from base 217 to 370 matches the Rfam family "5.8S ribosomal RNA". Lineage: Eukaryota; Fungi; Mortierellomycota; Mortierellomycetes; Mortierellales; Mortierellaceae. The record is from RNAcentral.
AAGUCGUGACAAGGUUUCCGUAGGUGAACCUGCGGAAGGAUCAUUCAUAAUCAAGUGUUUUUAUGGCACUUUAAAAAUCCAUAUCCACCUUGUGUGCAAUGUCAUCUCACUUGGGUCACGGCUGUAAAACGCCGGCGGCCCGUUUGGGAUUUAUAUCUACUCAGAAUUUUAAUCAUUUUGUCUGAAACAUAUUAUGAAUAACUUAAUUCAAAAUACAACUUUCAACAACGGAUCUCUUGGCUCUCGCAUCGAUGAAGAACGCAGCGAAAUGCGAUACGUAAUGUGAAUUGCAGAAUUCAGUGAAUCAUCGAAUCUUUGAACGCAUAUUGCGCUCUUUGGUAUUCCGAAGAGCAUGCUUGUUUGAGUAUCAGUAAACACCUCAAAGCUUUUGGACUUUUUUUUGAAAGUUUUGGACUUGAGCAAUCCCAACACCAAUCUUUUUCAGAUCGGUGGCGGGUUGCUUGAAAUGCAGGUGCAGCUGGACAUUCUCCUGAGCUAAAAGCAUAUUCAUUUAGUCCCGUCAAACGGAUUAUUACUUUUGCUGCAGCUAACAUAAAGGGAGUUUGACCGUAUUGGCUGACUGAUGCAGGAUUUCACAAGGGUCGGCAACGAUUCUUGUUAAACUCGAUCUCAAAUCAAGUAAGACUACCCGCUGAACUUAA